This 460-nucleotide ribosomal RNA is filed under the name uncultured bacterium. RNAcentral describes it as "partial 16S ribosomal RNA". It matches the Rfam family "Bacterial small subunit ribosomal RNA", at positions 338 to 795 of the family's 1533-position model. The record is from RNAcentral.
CCUACGGGUGGCAGCAGUGAGGAAUAUUGGUCAAUGGACGAGAGUCUGAACCAGCCAAGUAGCGUGAAGGAUGACUGCCCUAUGGGUUGUAAACUUCUUUUAUAUGGGAAUAAAAUGUUCCACGUGUGGGAUUUUGUAUGUACCAUAUGAAUAAGGAUCGGCUAACUCCGUGCCAGCAGCCGCGGUAAUACGGAGGAUCCGAGCGUUAUCCGGAUUUAUUGGGUUUAAAGGGAGCGUAGGUGGAUUGUUAAGUCAGUUGUGAAAGUUUGCGGCUCAACCGCAAAAUUGCAGUUGAAACUGGCAGUCUUGAGUACAGUAGAGGUGUGCGGAAUUCGUGGUGUAGCGGUGAAAUGCUUAGAUAUCACGAAGAACUCCGAUUGCGAAGGCAGUUCACUGGACUGCAACUGACACUGAGGCUCGAAAGUGUGGGUAUCAAACAGGAUUAGAGACCCGGGUAGUC